RNAcentral lists this transfer RNA (84 nucleotides) under Candidatus Iainarchaeum sp. RNAcentral describes it as "tRNA-Ser". It matches the Rfam family "tRNA". Rfam says of the family: Transfer RNA (tRNA) molecules are approximately 80 nucleotides in length. Their secondary structure includes four short double-helical elements and three loops (D, anti-codon, and T loops). Further hydrogen bonds mediate the characteristic L-shaped molecular structure. tRNAs have two regions of fundamental functional importance: the anti-codon, which is responsible for specific mRNA codon recognition, and the 3' end, to which the tRNAs corresponding amino acid is attached (by aminoacyl-tRNA synthetases). tRNAs cope with the degeneracy of the genetic code in two manners: having more than one tRNA (with a specific anti-codon) for a particular amino acid; and 'wobble' base-pairing, i.e. permitting non-standard base-pairing at the 3rd anti-codon position. The record is from RNAcentral. Lineage: Archaea; Nanobdellati; Candidatus Iainarchaeota; Candidatus Iainarchaeia; Candidatus Iainarchaeales; Candidatus Iainarchaeaceae.
GCAGCGGUGGCAGAGCGGUCCAAUGCGCACGCCUGGAAAGCGUGUUCCUGAAAGGGAGCGCGAGUUCGAAUCUCGUCCGCUGCG